RNAcentral lists this ribosomal RNA (878 nucleotides) under uncultured fungus. RNAcentral's name for it is "eukaryotic LSU rRNA". The stretch from base 432 to 585 matches the Rfam family "5.8S ribosomal RNA". Lineage: Eukaryota; Fungi. The record is from RNAcentral.
UCUUGGUCAUUUAGAGGAAGUAAAAGUCGUAACAAGGUUUCCGUAGGUGAACCUGCGGAAGGAUCAUUAAAGAAAUUUAAUAAUUUUGAAAAUGGAUUUUUUUGUUUUGGCAAGAGCAUGAGAGCUUUUACUGGGCAAGAAGACAAGAGAUGGAGAGUCCAGCCGGGCCUGCGCUUAAGUGCGCGGUCUUGCUAGGCUUGCAAGUUUCUUUCUAGCUAUUCCAAACGGUGAGAGAUUUCUGUGCUUUUGUUAUAGGACAAUUAAAACCGUUUCAAUACAACACACUGUGGAGUUUUCAUAUCUUUGCAACUUUUUCUUUGGGCAUUCGAGCAAUCGGGGCCCAGAGGUAACAAACACAAACAAUUUUAUCUAUUCAUUAAAUUUUUGUCAAAAACAAGAAUUUUCGUAACUGGAAAUUUUAAAAUAUUAAAAACUUUCAACAACGGAUCUCUUGGUUCUCGCAUCGAUGAAGAACGCAGCGAAAUGCGAUACGUAAUGUGAAUUGCAGAAUUCCGUGAAUCAUCGAAUCUUUGAACGCACAUUGCGCCCCUUGGUAUUCCAGGGGGCAUGCCUGUUUGAGCGUCAUUUCCUUCUCAAACAUUCUGUUUGGUAGUGAGUGAUACUCUUUGGAGUUAACUUGAAAUUGCUGGCCUUUUCAUUGGAUGUUUUUUUUCCAAAGAGAGGUUUCUCUGCGUGCUUGAGGUAUAAUGCAAGUACGGUCGUUUUAGGUUUUACCAACUGCGGCUAAUCUUUUUUUAUACUGAGCGUAUUGGAACGUUAUCGAUAAGAAGAGAGCGUCUAGGCGAACAAUGUUCUUAAAGUUUGACCUCAAAUCAGGUAGGAGUACCCGCUGAACUUAAGCAUAUCAAUAAGCGGAG